This is a non-coding RNA of Parasteatoda tepidariorum (common house spider), 982 nucleotides long. The record is from RefSeq and is a predicted model, not a curated record. NCBI's taxonomy places the organism in Eukaryota, Metazoa, Arthropoda, Arachnida, Araneae, Theridiidae.
AGUGAGUCUUCGAAUGCCUUGUGUCGAGUUCCCAUGGCCAUUCCAUUGAGGAGGAGUAAGCGAAGGCCUUACUCACGUGACCAGGAACUCUCAGACAACUUGAUUCUCGGAACUGCGCAGUAUUCGAGAUAGUUUUCUUUCGCGUUAUGGUUGCACGCGACAUGCUUUUUGGGAUUAAGUUGUUUAUGUAAACAAAUAUUUUUAACUAACAUUUUUGUAAAAAAAUGUAUUUUAGAAGUUCAUGCUGUGUUAGAGUGAAAAAGCAUUUUCGAAAUGUUUAUUUAAUUUAUUUAAUUUUUUUUUUCUAGUGCUGAGGAAUUGUUGAUCAAGAUAAUUAAUGAAUGAAUGGAAAAGGUCAAUGAGAAUGCAGCUGCUGAUUAUGUCAACAUUAUAUGAAGUAACAAGCAAGAACGAAGGAUACCUGAAAAACCAUAAUUUUCAAGAUUUUAACAAUGAUGAGGAGUCGUUUCGGAAGAAUCCUGCUCUAAAUCUGACAGAAAGUGAUUGAAUUCCUUGCAUUUGGAUGUGUCAUCUCUUUGGUAUAAUUCUCAUUAUCCAGUAGAAUCUUCAUCCGAGAUGAUCUGCGUUUUGUCCUCAAAAGCCAGAUCGUCUUGAAUUGAGGCUCCAAGGGUUGAGCAAUCUCCGGUAUCGUAUGUUCAUCUAAAAAUUCCUGCGCUUUCUCUCUCUUUUUUUUACUUCUACGAAAAAAAAAUUAUUUUUCUUUCUAAAUUCUUUUCUUUUACUGAAUGAAAGGCUUAAAAUUCUUUAAACAUUCCGUGUUCUGUUUACUUUUUUCCCUAUCAUUCACAGUCCGUUAUGAUUUUUCGAAACACGUGUUUUUUCAACUUUUUCUUGUAGCUCUAAUGAGAUAAGUUGUUAAGGUAUUUUUUGCAUCGACUCAAUAGAAUGAAAUGAGGUACUGAGUUGCUUGAAAUUUUUUUCUUUCUUUCAUGAUAGCGUCUACAAGCUUUUAUUUAUCUAU